UACGUAGGGCGCAAGCGUUAUCCGGAAUUAUUGGGCGUAAAGAGCUCGUAGGCGGCUUGUCACGUCGGAUGUGAAAGCCCGAGGCUUAACCUCGGGUCUGCAUUCGAUACGGGCUAGCUAGAGUGUGGUAGGGGAGAUCGGAAUUCCUGGUGUAGCGGUGAAAUGCGCAGAUAUCAGGAGGAACACCGGUGGCGAAGGCGGAUCUCUGGGCCAUUACUGACGCUGAGGAGCGAAAGCGUGGGGAGCGAACAGG
RNAcentral lists this ribosomal RNA (253 nucleotides) under uncultured bacterium. Its description in RNAcentral is "partial 16S ribosomal RNA". It matches the Rfam family "Bacterial small subunit ribosomal RNA", at positions 524 to 776 of the family's 1533-position model. The record is from RNAcentral.